RNAcentral lists this long non-coding RNA (829 nucleotides) under Mustela putorius furo (domestic ferret). RNAcentral describes it as "lncRNA (ENSMPUG00000025762.1)". The record is from RNAcentral. Lineage: Eukaryota; Metazoa; Chordata; Mammalia; Carnivora; Mustelidae.
AUUCUAUUUGUGUGGAAUUCUAGAAAAGGUAACAUUAUGAUGACAGGAAGGAGAUCUGUAGUUGCCUAGAGCUGGUGUCAGGGGAUGGGAUCCACUGAGAAGUAGCCCAGGGAACUUAUCGACAGAAUGGACCUCCUGUUCAGUAUCUUGAUUGUAGUAGUUUUUACAUAAUUACAUGUUAUCAAAAUGCAUCAAAAUGAAUACUUAUGAAAGCUACUAUACCUGUAAGAGAGCAACUCCGCAAGUUGGAGUUGGUCAUCGCCUUCUGUAAACAGGAAGACUCAGGACUGGAUAUACCAUGUGACCUUCCUACAGCCCUGCAAAGCUUGGAAACAAACUCCUGACUGUGGCUCUGUUCAGUGAAGGAUGAAUUCUCUGAGACUUCAUGAGUCUAUGGGAAAUAUCUCAACAAACAAAUGAAGAAGGACACAUUGGAAUAUCACCAUUUACUCCUAAUGAAUUAAGGAUGUAAGCACAGAGAAUCAGUGGCUACUUCUAAGACAAGAAGAGAAAAUUAGAUAGCAUGUUCCUCUUGAGGAAGAUGUCACCCACCAUCUGAGAAGAUGCUUUCCCCCAAACAACCAAUUGUGAAUGUGAUUUAACCCUUUAAAUUCAACUACUGAUUCACAGGGAGUGCUGAGGCCAAAGAAAGAUGUGAAACCACACAAUGGGAACAUAACCUGCAAAAUAAAGGCUAAGGUAAACUGUACAGAGAUGAAAUGUCUUCUUCAACAAGCUGUCAUGCAGUAAGAAAAAUAAAAAAUUAAGGGACCACUCUAUAGAUUAAAAGAGAUCUAAAUGAUUAAUUAAAGUAUAAAAGCAUUAACUC